CCCUUAGAUGUUCUGGGCCGCACGCGCGCUACACUGAAGGAAUCAGCGUGGCUUUCUCCCUGACCCGAAAGGGUUGGGAAACCCGUUGAAUCUCCUUCGUGAUGGGGAUUGGGGCUUGAAAUUGUUCCCCAUGAACGAGGAAUUCCCAGUAAGCGCGAGUCAUAAGCUCGCGUUGAUUACGUCCCUGCCCUUUGUACACACCGCCCGUCGCUACUACCGAUUGAACGGUUUAGUGAGGGCCUCGGAUUGGUCUCGGCCCGCUCUUUACCGGGCGGCGCCGUUGGUCGAGAAGACGCUCGAACUUGAUCGUUUAGAGGAAGUAAAAGUCGUAACA
Molecule: ribosomal RNA, 334 nt
Filed under: uncultured eukaryote
Lineage: Eukaryota
Description: partial 18S ribosomal RNA
Rfam family: Eukaryotic small subunit ribosomal RNA
Source: RNAcentral